Molecule: ribosomal RNA, 544 nt
Filed under: Mycena aff. pura TL9678
Lineage: Eukaryota; Fungi; Basidiomycota; Agaricomycetes; Agaricales; Mycenaceae
Description: eukaryotic LSU rRNA
Rfam family: Eukaryotic large subunit ribosomal RNA
Source: RNAcentral
CCCUUAGUAACUGCGAGUGAAGCGGGAAAAGCUCAAAUUUGAAAUCUGGCGGUUCCGCCGUCCGAGUUGUAAUUUAGAGAAGCGUUACCUGCGCUGGACCGUGUACAAGUCUCCUGGAAUGGAGCGUCAUAGAGGGUGAGAAUCCCGUCUUUGACACGGACUCCCAGGGCAUUGUGGUACGCUCUCAAAGAGUCGAGUUGUUUGGGAAUGCAGCUCAAAAUGGGUGGUAAAUUCCAUCUAAAGCUAAAUAUUGGGGAGAGACCGAUAGCGAACAAGUACCGUGAGGGAAAGAUGAAAAGAACUUUGGAAAGAGAGUUAAACAGUACGUGAAAUUGCUGAAAGGGAAACGCUUGAAGUCAGUCGCGUCGUUCGGGAUUCAGCUUCAGCUUCUGCUGGGUGUACUUCCUGUUCGACGGGUCAGCAUCAGUUUUGGCCGGUGGAUAAAGGCCUGGGGAAUGUGGCAUCCUUGGAUGUGUUAUAGCCCUGGGUCGCAUACAUCGGCUGGGACUGAGGAACUCAGCACGCCGCAAGGCCAGGUUCGACC